Molecule: long non-coding RNA, 1030 nt
Organism: Tachysurus fulvidraco (yellow catfish)
Lineage: Eukaryota; Metazoa; Chordata; Actinopteri; Siluriformes; Bagridae
Exons: 6
Source: RefSeq, a predicted model, not a curated record
CACACACAUAAAUCAGCAUUGGUUUAGACACACUGUUUCCUCUUUGUCUCUGGUCUGAUACACAAUGGUUCAGUUUAAAACUCUGUCUGUGUUUUUCUGUGUCAUGGGUUUGCUCUCAGAGACUCAGAGCUCUUUAACUUUGGAGGCAGAAGCUGGAGAUAACGUUACUAUUUGGUGCAAACAUGAUCUAAAACAUCCAGAUACGAUCAUCUGGUUUAAACACACAAGUGAUUCAGUUCCACUUCUUCUUGGGUGUAAAAAGUUUUUGACAUCAGCUCCAUCAAAGUUGUGUUACUUCUUUAGUGAGAGUGAGAGAAUAGUGAUGUCUGUUCAUGGCAGUAAAACAUCUCUCACAAUCACUGCAGUAAACGUAUCUGAUACAGGACUCUAUUACUGCAGCUUCAGUGAGAAAAUGAUCUUCAGUAACUCCACAUAAUUACAAGUGAAAGGAUUAAAUAAAACAGUUUCUGAAGACAAAGCAACAGGUUCUGUGUCUCCUGCUGUGUUCUUCAUGCUGAUUGUGAUGUUUAGUUCAGUGUCUGUGUUUCUUCUCUUUGUCCUGAUCAUCAUACUGAAGCACAGAAAAACACACAGAGGUGCUGAAGCAGAUGAUAAUGAGGUGUAUAAAUUGUCAAGGAGACACUGCCACUUCUAAGCACUGAAGUGGAGAAUACCUCUCGCUGUGCAGUGUCUUUUGCAAGUUGAGGAAGUUCAUGCCGGACUUUAUUCACUGUGCCCAGUAGCGUUGUUUUGCAGUGCAGCAGUCUAUGCGACAGUGACAGUGGAGUAAAAAAAUUGACCGAGGUGACAUUUCUGCCAUCAUCCAAAAAUGGCUCCAUCAGAUUCAUGACCACGCUCUCUGUCAGCCUCUCUCCCUUCUGACGAUUGGGGUCCUUUCCCAAGUAAAAAGAUGCUUUGCAGACAUAUUUGAAAUUAAUCUAUCUUGGGGCAUUGUCUCUUUGAAAACCAAGAGAUUGUUUUGAAACCAUUUUGACCAUUUUUAAUGUCAGUAAAUAAUAAAACUUGUUUU